Molecule: non-coding RNA, 45 nt
Filed under: Echinostoma caproni
Lineage: Eukaryota; Metazoa; Platyhelminthes; Trematoda; Plagiorchiida; Echinostomatidae
Source: RNAcentral
GCACCGCUGACGAGUUCCAAACAGGACAAAACAGCUGUCCAGUGC